RNAcentral lists this ribosomal RNA (245 nucleotides) under uncultured bacterium. RNAcentral describes it as "partial 16S ribosomal RNA". It matches the Rfam family "Bacterial small subunit ribosomal RNA", at positions 524 to 768 of the family's 1533-position model. The record is from RNAcentral.
UACGAAGGGUGCAAGCGUUACUCGGAAUUACUGGGCGUAAAGCGUGCGUAGGUGGUUCGUUAAGUCUGCUGUGAAAGCCCCGGGCUCAACCUGGGAAUGGCAGUGGAUACUGGCGGGCUAGAGUGCGGUAGAGGGUAGUGGAAUUCCCGGUGUAGCGGUGAAAUGCGUAGAGAUCGGGAGGAACACCAGUGGCGAAGGCGGCUACCUGGACCAGCACUGACACUCAGGCACGAAAGCGUGGGGAG